This 468-nucleotide ribosomal RNA is filed under the name uncultured bacterium. Its description in RNAcentral is "partial 16S ribosomal RNA". It matches the Rfam family "Bacterial small subunit ribosomal RNA", at positions 28 to 507 of the family's 1533-position model. The record is from RNAcentral.
GACGAACGCUGGCGGCGUGCUUAACACAUGCAAGUCGAACGGCAAGGCCCUGCUUUUUUGGUGUGCUCGAGUGCCGAACGGGUGAGUAACACGUGUGUAACCUGCCCUUGACUUUCGUAUAACUUCAGGAAACUGGGGCUAAUACCGUAUAGCGUCUCCUGCUGCAUGGUGGGGGUUGGAUAUUUUCGGCGGUUGGGGAUGGACUGGCGGCUUAUCAGCUAGUUGGUGGGGUAGUGGCUUACCAAGGCUUUGACGGGUAGCCGGCCUGAGAGGGGGACCGGCCACAUGGGGACUGAGAGACGGACCAGACUCCUACGGGAGGCAGCAGUGGGGAAUAUUGCACAAUGGGCGGAAGCCUGAGGCAGCAACGCCGCGUGCGGGAUGACGGCCUUCGGGUUGUAAACCGCUUUAGCCUGUGACGAAGCGUGAGUGACGGUAAUGGGUAAAGAAGCACCGGCUAACUACGUG